Molecule: long non-coding RNA, 98 nt
Organism: Perognathus longimembris pacificus (Pacific pocket mouse)
Lineage: Eukaryota; Metazoa; Chordata; Mammalia; Rodentia; Heteromyidae
Exons: 3
Source: RefSeq, a predicted model, not a curated record
UAAACAUUUACUAGUUCAUGGUAGGAUAAUCUACAACACAAUAUAUUAUGCCUAACUAUCAAAACAACACCCUUUUUUUUGGUCUAGGAAAAGAGAAA